Cyanistes caeruleus (blue tit) is the source of this 535-nucleotide non-coding RNA. The record is from RefSeq and is a predicted model, not a curated record. Lineage: Eukaryota; Metazoa; Chordata; Aves; Passeriformes; Paridae.
CAGAUGUAACAGCCUUAAGCUCCAAAAUGUGAAUGGGGACCUGUCCAACUUGAGGUGCAACUACUAGAAUAAAGAGACUCCAGCCCCAAUUUGUAUCACUUGACUGGAUGACUACAUGCAAUUGUGGACAAGGAAACAAAAGUACAGAGAAAUUGUCUAGUAAGUUGUCUUUCUCAUCACUCAGUACUGGAGGAUUCAGAGGCUUCCAUCAUCAAGUGAGUUCCUGCCAAACAGAAACAAAGAUGGUUCCUGGCUGGAGUGCCAGUGUCUGACACAGAAGGGGAGACUCUUUCAUGCCAGUGGAAGUACUCAUGAAGUUUGGUGUUACUGAAGGUCCUGGGACAUUGAAAACUGCUACAGAAAGAGUGAAUCCCUUCAGAUACAAACAUACUGCAUCUGCCUAAGAGGAACAAACACAUUCCCAAGCAGAGAAAGACCAAGAGCAAGACCUGUUCCCUCUCCUGCUAAUGGGGAUAUCCCAUAGGAGCAUGCUUGGAGGUGGGUAAAUCUGACUGCAGUUCUGUGGCCACCAGAA